GAGGUUGUUUCUAGAAGCCAGCCAGGCACAUCAAUUUUCAUGUCUUCUUGUUUUAUUUUUUGCACAGAGGAUGUUGGCACUAAGAGGCAGGACUUGACAAGGAAGAUUUUGGGAAAUGACUCAUUUGGAAUUUGUUGGAGGAGUCUGAAACUGGUGAAACUUCAGCCUUUGGAACAAAAAAAAAGUGUCAGCUGUUUGGCCCUGCAGGGGUUUGGGAAGGCAAGGAGGCCAGCUACAGGUGCAAAGCAGCUUCAUCACUGGAGGGACACCAUGCCGAAGGUGGGAAUGGUAAUAAUGAUGAAAUAG
This 306-nucleotide long non-coding RNA is filed under the name Rhinopithecus bieti (black snub-nosed monkey). RNAcentral's name for it is "lncRNA (ENSRBIG00000045279.1)". The record is from RNAcentral. Lineage: Eukaryota; Metazoa; Chordata; Mammalia; Primates; Cercopithecidae.